UCCGUAGGUGAACCUGCGGAAGGAUCAUUAAAAAGGAUACCGGGCAACCGGUAGACCCCACCCGUGUCUAUCUACUCUUGUUGCUUUGGCAGGCCGUGGCCUCCACCGUGGGCUCUGCCUGCGUGUGCCUGCCAGAGGACCAAACUCUGAAUUUUAGUGAUGUCUGAGUACUAUAUAAUAGUUAAAACUUUCAACAACGGAUCUCUUGGUUCUGGCAUCGAUGAAGAACGCAGCGAAAUGCGAUAAGUAAUGUGAAUUGCAGAAAUCAGUGAAUCAUCGAAUCUUUGAACGCACAUUGCGCCCGGUGGUAUUCCGCCGGGCAUGCCUGUUCGAGCGUCAUUAUAACCACUCAAGCCUGGCUUGGUAUUGGGGUUCGCGGUUCCGCGGCCCCUAAAAUCAGUGGCGGUGCCGGUGGGCUCUAAGCGUAGUGAAUCUCCUCGCUAUAGGGUCCCUCCGGUUGCUCGCCAGAACCCCCAAUUUUUUAAGGUUGACCUCGGAUCAGGUAGGGAUACCCGCUGAACUUAAGCAUAUCAAUAAGCGGAGGAAAAGAAACCAACCAAUC
Molecule: ribosomal RNA, 562 nt
Filed under: uncultured Atheliaceae
Lineage: Eukaryota; Fungi; Basidiomycota; Agaricomycetes; Atheliales; Atheliaceae
Description: eukaryotic LSU rRNA
Rfam family: 5.8S ribosomal RNA (bases 186-339)
Source: RNAcentral